UACAGAGAACCCCGUAUAACCCAAACUGUUAACCUUCAAUACUGCUUUGUACUUACGAUCUUGUAUCCACUGACUGUCUUGUUAGAUUAACCCAAUAAAUUUCAUUCACUCCGCAUACUCAAUCCUAUAGACACCCUUUUAAUCCUUCAAUCACAGACGUAACUCGAUUUCACAAAAUAGUCAAGAGUAUUCAAACCCACUUCAUUUAAAAAUCCCGAUUCACCAUUACAACACUGACUUCAACAGCGAUUGCCUCAGUCUUCCCCAAAACUCUACGAAGAAGAAAAAU
RNAcentral lists this long non-coding RNA (289 nucleotides) under Physcomitrium patens. RNAcentral describes it as "long non-coding RNA (PPAT_LNC000503)". Lineage: Eukaryota; Viridiplantae; Streptophyta; Bryopsida; Funariales; Funariaceae. The record is from RNAcentral.